RNAcentral lists this long non-coding RNA (283 nucleotides) under Malus domestica (apple). Its description in RNAcentral is "long non-coding RNA (MDOM_LNC010060)". The record is from RNAcentral. Lineage: Eukaryota; Viridiplantae; Streptophyta; Magnoliopsida; Rosales; Rosaceae.
AUUGAUACUUAUCAAUGUACUGUUCUUACUGUCUUAAAAAUAUUAUUAGUAUUGUAUCAAUUUGUUGUCGUUAUUGUAUUAAUAUGUUGUCAUUAUCGUAUCAAUGAAGUUAGCGGUAUUUGAGCAAAAAGGGUAGUGUAGAUUAGUGUUUUAAACAGGGGUGCAAGGCAGUUUUUGGUUGGUAAGUUUGAGAGGGCUACUAAUUUUCCAAUGUUCUUUGUCAUUUUUGUUUAUGUUCAUGGUUGGAUUUCUAUAAAGUAUAUUUCAUCCAUCAAUUCACUAC